AGUUGUAUCCUGGCUCAGGAUGAACGCUAGCGGCAGGCUUAACACAUGCAAGUCGAGGGGUAACAGAUGUAGCUUGCUAUAUGCUGACGACCGGCGCACGGGUGCGUAACGCGUAUAGAAUCUACCUUGUACAUAGGGAUAGCCCAGAGAAAUUUGGAUUAAUACCUUAUAGUAUUGUUGAAUGGCAUCAUUUGACACUUAAACAUUUAUGGGUACAAGAUGACUAUGCGUCCUAUUAGUUAGUUGGUAAGGUAACGGCUUACCAAGACAUCGAUAGGUAGGGGUCCUGAGAGGGAGAUCCCCCACACUGGUACUGAGACACGGACCAGACUCCUACGGGAGGCAGCAGUGAGGAAUAUUGGACAAUGGAGGCAACUCUGAUCCAGCCAUGCCGCGUGAAGGAAGACUGCCCUAUGGGUUGUAAACUUCUUUUAUAUAGGAAGAAACCGUGGUAUGUAUACCACCUUGACGGUACUAUAUGAAUAAGGACCGGCUAACUCCGUGCCAGCAGCCGCGGUAAUACGGAGGGUCCGAGCGUUAUCCGGAAUCAUUGGGUUUAAAGGGUCCGUAGGCGGGUUGAUAAGUCAGAGGUGAAAUCCCAUAGCUCAACUAUGGAACUGCCUUUGAUACUGUUAGCCUUGAGUCAUUUGGAAGUAGAUAGAAUGUGUAGUGUAGCGGUGAAAUGCAUAGAUAUUACACAGAGUACCGAUUGCGAAGGCAGUCUACUACGAAUGUACUGACGCUGAUGGACGAAAGCGUGGGUAGCGAACAGGAUUAGAUACCCUGGUAGUCCACGCCGUAAACGAUGGACACUAGUUGUUGGGAUUUAUCUCAGUGACUAAGCGAAAGUGAUAAGUGUCCC
RNAcentral lists this ribosomal RNA (862 nucleotides) under uncultured Bacteroidota bacterium. Its description in RNAcentral is "bacterial SSU rRNA". It matches the Rfam family "Bacterial small subunit ribosomal RNA", at positions 10 to 870 of the family's 1533-position model. Lineage: Bacteria; Pseudomonadati; Bacteroidota. The record is from RNAcentral.